Molecule: ribosomal RNA, 407 nt
Filed under: uncultured bacterium
Lineage: Bacteria
Description: partial 16S ribosomal RNA
Rfam family: Bacterial small subunit ribosomal RNA
Source: RNAcentral
AUUGAACGCUGGCGGCAGGCCUAACACAUGCAAGUCGAACGGAGCGGCGGACGGGUGAGGACUGCCUAGGAAGCAGCCCGUUGGUGGGGGAUAACGUCCGGAAAGGGGCCCUAAUACCACAUACUAUCAGGGAAGCCUAGGUCGGAUUAGCUAGUUGGUGGGGUAAAGGCCUACCAAGGCGACGAUCCGUAACUGGUCUGAGAGGAUGAUCAGUCACACUGGAACUGAGACACGGCCCAGACUCCUACGGGAGGCAGCAGUUGGGAAUAUUGGACAAGGGGCGAAAGCCUGAUCCAGCCACGCCGCGUGUGUGAAGAAGGUCUUCGGAUUGUAAAGCACUUUUGUUUGGGAGGCGUUACCAACAGAAUAAGCACCGGCUAACUACGUGCCAGCAGCCGCGGUAAUAC